Vespula vulgaris is the source of this 547-nucleotide long non-coding RNA. RefSeq lists it as uncharacterized. The transcript has 2 exons. The record is from RefSeq and is a predicted model, not a curated record. Lineage: Eukaryota; Metazoa; Arthropoda; Insecta; Hymenoptera; Vespidae.
AUGAAACAUUGGAUAACGCGGUUGUGAAAUACACGUCCUUUGUCUUUGUUCUCGUAGUUUUCUUUCUUGACAUUGUACUUUUUCAACAGCUUUCUCGAGAACUCUAAAACUUGACUAGCUGAUAAUGGUGUUGUAAAGGGUGUAGGUACUGUUCCACCUACUAUGAUGAUUCUAUCCUUAACGAAUGGGUGUUCUAAAAGUGCAGGCCAAGUCAAUCGUUGAGAAGGAUCCUUUUGCAACAAACCCUUCCAAAAAAAAAAGAAACAGUUAACAUAACCAUUAUCCAUGUGAAAGUUCAGAAAAAUCUGUAAUUGUAAGAAUUAUAAUUACUGUAUACCUGUAAGAAACUUUUACAAUUUGGCGAAAUAAAAUCUGGCCAUUUAACUGCUUCAAACCGUAUCAGUCUAACUAAAUGUAAAAUAGAAGUUGUUUGAAAUGGUGGUGAACCGACAACUAAUUCGUAAACUAUACAACCUAACGACCUGUAACAUAUGUCGUGUCUGUAUCUGUUACAUAAUUAAAAAUACAAACGAAUAAUGUCAAAUUA